GGGCUGGGGCCCGGGGGAGGCGUGAGUCGGAGCCCCCCAGCCAGGGCGCCGCGCGCAGACACCACGUGAGCCAGGAAGCCAACCAGCAGAAGCCACGUGUGCGGGGGCCGAGCUCGGGCCUCCAGCACGAGCAGAAACACCCCCGGGCUGCGGGCUUUGCUGCGGCCGCCUGAGCGGACUCGCACGGACGGCCACCUGCAGGUUUCAGGUGACAGACCGAUGGGGACACCGGCACAGGGCUGGGCUCCGAGCGUUCCUCACCCGGCAGGAGCGGAAGAGGGGAAUCCGUGUGUCGGAGCUCCGUGCGGAGGACAGAGGACGCCCGGGGCCCUGGGGCCUCCCGGGCAGGACACGGGAGAUGCACUAGUAUAGCAGCCACACCGGAGUCCCCGGGACAGGCAUGCCCACCGCCAUCAACAACCGGAAAACUGGACAAAGCACACGAGGCAGCUGUCUCCAGACCUCAGGCUGCAGGCACUGAGCAUGCUGCCCGGGGAGCUCACUGCGUGCACAGCUGUCUCCCUGAGCUGAGACGACGGAGAGCCGAGGUCGCGGAGGCAGAAUGUGCAAGGUGAGUCCCCCCGGGUCAGGGAUGGGAGUGGAUGAGGGGACCCCGCCGGGCUGAGCCAGGGAGAGCUGCCGGCGAGUUACAGCCAGCAAAUGCAGCCCCUUGAUGGCGGAACACCCCAUGUCCAGCAUCCAAUCACGCGGGAGUCGACGUGCAAAGAAGCAGGAGCAGUGGAGAAAACCCAGCAGAUAGAAACGCCCCAGGCAGCGUGGCUGCCGCCGGUGCCCACAGACCCUGGGGGGCUGAGACACCUGCCCAAGGCGGCCGCUGGAGGGGGGGCUGAGCAGAUGCGGUGAGUCCCAGAGCGCCACACAGCAGCACCGACAUUACAGGUGCCUGGAGGUGGGGUGCACGGUCUCCCCGAAUCCCAGCACCAAGUCAUCUCCUGCAGCAGCAGCAGCCCCAGCCUCAGGACCCCCCGUCACCGAGAUUCCAGCAGAACCGUUGGAAAGCCACCAGCUCGCCCUCAGAAACAGAUGAGGUCUGAGCUCAGACUUCCCAGCUUCCUGUCCCCGGGGCCCCGCACCCCGCGGGCGGGCUUGCACACUCGACAUCAGUGCAAAGCAUCCAGGCACAGCGGGCUGGGGCUUGUGUCUUUGGGGCCCCAUCCCUGUGGGGGGGUAGGCAGCAGUCGAGACAAAGGCAAGCGGUGAGCUGUUUUGUUCUCGGAGCAGGUUAGCUGCCCGUGUGCUUGGGGUGGGGGCAGCGAGAGUGCGUGUUGUGCGGACGGGGCCUUGUAGGGACGUUCCCCGUUAGGUGGCCUGUUGGGGGUUUAUUCUUGCAGCCCGGAGGCCCGAGGCCCCAGGUCCUCCUGAGGCUGCGAGGGAGACUGUCCCGGCCCCGCGUGGCUCCUAGUGCCGCGGUGUUCCUCCCCGGUCCCACGUGCCCCUCUCCCUGAGCACCGCUCCAUGCCGCUCGGUCUCUUCUUCGAAAACACCGGUCAUGGGGUCAGGGGCCACCCCAAUCCACUAAGGCCUCACCUUAACUACUCACACCCGCCAAGAUCGGUUUCCACGUAAGGUCACCUUCACAGAGCCUUGGGGCUUGAACACCUCUCUGGUGGAUUUAAUUCUACUCGGCUGUUACGGCCUGAAUGUUUGUGCUCCCCCAAAACUCACGUGUUGAAACCUACCCCCACGUGAUGUCGGGAGCUGGGGCCCCUGGGGGCAAUGAGGUUGUGAGCAUGGGGCCCAGAGAGGGAGCUGUCCCUGUAACAGAGGCCCCCGCAGAGCCCAGCCCCUUCCGUGCCGCGUGGACACUGCGAGAAGGCAGCUACGUCCUGGAAGACGGCUCUCACUGGACCCGGACCGUGCUGGGUCCUGACCCGGAUCUCUGCUCCGAGCUGUGAGAAAGAGGUGUGCUGUUUAUAGGCCGGUCUGUGGCCUUCUGUUACGGCACCCCGAACACACGCAGACCCAGCACAGGAGGCUUUCUCCGGAAGGGAGGCACAGACGACCCCACCGUGCCCCCCAAGGUCACCUCAGAAGGUCACUGUGCUCAGGGAGGGGCCCUUACAGAGGCGAUUCAGGGGUCAGCCAUCACCCACUCUGCCGUCCUUGACAGAUACACGUUUUUUUCUUCCCUUCUCGCUGGUGUUUUUACUCAGUGAAUAUAGUCUAGCCUCUUCUUCUGACAAAGUAGGUCAAGACUGAAGCAAGUCUUCUGGAAGACCGAAAAAGCCUCAGAGUCGGCCAACGUCGGUGACAACCCCAGGCACACCCAGCCCCAUGGGGCACAGCCCCACGUGCGGGCCAGAGAAGACCCUGGGGUCUGGGUGCCCACCACUGGUCAGGGCCCCCCCCACGGUGCCACGAGCGGGGACGCAGGGCACACAAAUCCCAGCCCGGAGGCAAGAGACAGCCGUUCAACAGUUCACUGAGUACAUGGCGGGUUGAAAUCCGUUGGCAGCACAAGUCUGGGGGGGCGGAGGGGGCGCAAAUCUUCCAGGAGGAGUCGGUGUUUGAGCUGCAACUGGGGACCCAAGCAGGGUUGGCUCCUUGAUGCGGGAUGGGGGGCAGGGAGGAUGGAACGUUCCAGAAGGCCCAUGCCAGGCCGUGUGUGGUGGGAGGUGCCAGGCGGAGAGGCUGGCAGAGCCCUGGGGAACCCCAGCAUUUAGAAGUCAGGGAGACAAGGACGAGCUGGGCAGAGCGGAGGUCAGAAGGGGAGUCACGGACGCUGAGGGCCUGAAUGUCUGAAGGAACCCGCCCCACCAUACUGGCGGUGCAGGAAGACAGCGACAGGCGGUCUCGGUGCCACACGGGGGGGGCAGCGGGGCACGCAGAGGCAGGAGGCGGCCCCUCGAAGUGAGCACCGUGAGGUGUCAGAGACCCGGCCGUCGCAGCCCGUGGAGGUGGCGUGAGACCCCCUACACCUGGGACAGCUGGCGCACGGCCAUGUCCUCGGGACUCUGACGAGGAGCAGGAGGAAGGAGGGAAACGCAGCAGGGAGCCCCCGACGAAGCAAGAGAGGGGGCGCCCAGGAUCCGUGAACAGUGCUGCCGACGGGAGAGAACGUGGCAUUUCCCGUGGUGGCCACUGCCCUCCUUCUGGCAAAUAGAACCCUGACUUUGUCCAGGACAGGGGAGGGAUGGGGGUUACCUCACAGCACAGAGUGAGAACACUGCCUGGCCACAAUCAGUGGCCGUGAAAGGACCCUCAGCAGGACACCUCCCGGGGGACCACACGUGGGAGAUGGACACAGCCUCCACCUGACCCUGGCUCAGUGAGCCCACAGACCUGGAACAACCUCCCACAUAUGAAGGCAGCCUGCACCCCAAACUAGGUCAAUGGCAAAGCACUCUUUCUCCAAAGGCAGCUUGGAUUUAUAAUGCAUGUUGUAUUGAUUGAAAGAAAUGCUCCUCCCUCUUGUGGAUUUCUGGGGUACUUGGGUUGAGGAAUUUGUGAUUUUUAUAACCCUCAUUAAAUUCUUACUUUUCACUUUCACGGUCUC
Ailuropoda melanoleuca (giant panda) is the source of this 3517-nucleotide long non-coding RNA. RefSeq lists it as uncharacterized. The record is from RefSeq and is a predicted model, not a curated record. The transcript has 3 exons. NCBI's taxonomy places the organism in Eukaryota, Metazoa, Chordata, Mammalia, Carnivora, Ursidae.